RNAcentral lists this long non-coding RNA (627 nucleotides) under Equus asinus (donkey). RNAcentral describes it as "lncRNA (ENSEASG00005024666.1)". The record is from RNAcentral. Lineage: Eukaryota; Metazoa; Chordata; Mammalia; Perissodactyla; Equidae.
UGAAGAACAAUGUUGUAUAGGUGCCUUGGGGCACAUAUGCAGGAGUAUCUUUUGGGUGUAUAGCUAGGAGAGGAAUUGCUGGGUUAUGGAAGAAUUUACCAAUUACACAAGUGGAUCCUCUGGUUGCUUUGGAACUCUAUAGACUGACAUUGAUCAUUGUCUGCUGAUCCUAACAGUGUGUGACCUUUAGUUACCAUGCUUUUCUGGUUGCUAUCAUUGGACACACCAUGGUUCAUCAAAUGGCUCAGAUCAGUGAGUUCCAAGUGAACAGAGGACUCCAGGUGUGCUGCAGUACUGGAGGGAACACUGAACAUCUGUGAUCUACAUACCUUUCCAAAAAUAUAUGUUUGUUGGGUUUAGCAGGUGAAAAAUAUUACUGGCUCAAUUUAAACUUUGGAUCACAUAAGGCCCCAGGUAGCCUUAUUAGAAGUGCUGUUGAGCCAGAAUUACACUUUACGUAAUUUAAUGUUGUGAACCCAAAUAUAGACCUUUUCACUUUAUGCUUUUUAACAUUUUCUAUAUUGGUUUAAGGCUUGGGUCUCAAAUUUUAGGUAUUAAUAUUUUACUAUUUUUUGUGUGGAGGACUAGCCCUGAGCUAACAUCUAUGCCAAUCUUCCUCUAUUUUAU